Molecule: ribosomal RNA, 524 nt
Filed under: uncultured bacterium
Lineage: Bacteria
Description: bacterial SSU rRNA
Rfam family: Bacterial small subunit ribosomal RNA
Source: RNAcentral
AGAGUUUGAUCCUGGCUCAGGAUGAACGCUAGCGAUAGGCCUAACACAUGCAAGUCGAGGGGCAGCACAUGAGUAGCAAUACGAUGGUGGCGACCGGCGCACGGGUGAGUAACACGUAUGCAACCUACCUUUAACAGGGGAAUAACCCGUUGAAAAACGGACUAAUACUCCAUAACACAGGGGUCCCGCAUGGGAAUAUUUGUUAAAGAUUUAUCGGUUGAAGAUGGGCAUGCGUUCCAUUAGCUUGUUGGUGAGGUAACGGCUCACCGAGGCUACGAUGGAUAGGGGAACUGAGAGGUUUAUCCCCCACACUGGAACUGAGACACGGUCCAGACUCCUACGGGAGGCAGCAGUGAGGAAUAUUGGUCAAUGGAGGCAACUCUGAACCAGCCAAGUCGCGUGAAGGAUGAAGGUCUUAUGGAUUGUAAACUUCUUUUGCAAGGGAAUAAAGUGGGUGACGUGUCCUCCUUUGCAUGUACCUUGCGAAUAAGGAUCGGCUAACUCCGUGCCAGCAGCCGCGGUAA